AACGCACGAGACCUGCGGACCUGCGGAAGGAUCAUUACCGAGUGAGGGCCUCCGGCCCGACCUCCAACCCUUUGUUAUCUACACCAUUGUCGCCUCGGGGGCGACUCUCGCCUAACGGCGUCGGGCCCCCGGUGGAUCAUACACAAAUUCUGCAUCUUUGCGUCGGGUUUGAAAUAUCAAUUUGAUUAAAACUUUCAACAAUGGAUCUCU
RNAcentral lists this unclassified non-coding RNA (210 nucleotides) under soil metagenome. Its description in RNAcentral is "partial contains 5.8S ribosomal RNA, internal transcribed spacer 2, and large subunit ribosomal RNA". The record is from RNAcentral.